UGAUGCAGCCAUGCCGCGUGUGUGAAGAAGGUCUUCGGAUUGUAAAGGAAGGUCUUCGGAUUGUAAACCCCUGUCAAGUGGGAGCAAAUUAAAAAGAUAGUACCACUAGAGGAAGAGACGGCUAACUCUGUGCCAGCAGCCGCGGUAAUACAGAGGGUGCGAGCGUUAAUCGGAUUUACUGGGCGUAAAGCGUGCGUAGGCGGCUUUUUAAGUCAGAUGUGAAAUCCCCGAGCUUAACUUGGGAAUUGCAUUCGAUACUGGUUGGCUAGAGUGUGGGAGAGGAUGGUAGAAUUCCAGGUGUAGCG
RNAcentral lists this ribosomal RNA (305 nucleotides) under Escherichia coli. RNAcentral describes it as "bacterial SSU rRNA". It matches the Rfam family "Bacterial small subunit ribosomal RNA", at positions 384 to 680 of the family's 1533-position model. Lineage: Bacteria; Pseudomonadati; Pseudomonadota; Gammaproteobacteria; Enterobacterales; Enterobacteriaceae. The record is from RNAcentral.